Molecule: ribosomal RNA, 464 nt
Filed under: uncultured bacterium
Lineage: Bacteria
Description: partial 16S ribosomal RNA
Rfam family: Bacterial small subunit ribosomal RNA
Source: RNAcentral
GAUGAACGCUGGCGGCGUGCUUAACACAUGCAAGUCGAACGGAAAGGCUCCUGCUUGCAGGGGUACUCGAGUGGCGAACGGGUGAGUAACACGUGGGUGAUCUGCCCUGCACUUCGGUAUAAGCCUGGGAAACUGGUCUAAUACCGGAUAGGACUAUGGUUUGCAUGCCAUUGUGGAAAGUUUUUCGGUGUGGGAUGAUCUCGCGGCCUAUCAGCUUGUUGGUGGGGUAAUGGCCUACCAAGGCGUCGACGGGUAGCCGGCCUGAGAGGGUGUACGGCCACAUUGGGACUGAGAGACGGCCCAGACUCCUACGGGAGGCAGCAGUGGGGAAUAUUGCACAAUGGGCGCAAGCCUGAGGCAGCGACGCUGGGUGGGGGAUGACGGCCUUCGGGUUGUAAACUCCUUUCGCUAGGGACGAAGCGGAAGUGACGGUACCUGGAGAAGAAGCACCGGCUAACUACGUG